Long non-coding RNA from Sinocyclocheilus grahami, 344 nucleotides. RefSeq lists it as uncharacterized. Lineage: Eukaryota; Metazoa; Chordata; Actinopteri; Cypriniformes; Cyprinidae. The transcript has 3 exons. The record is from RefSeq and is a predicted model, not a curated record.
AGAUGUGGAAAUGGCUUUAUUGCUGGAGUCAUUCAUGCAGACCAUCGGAAUAAUGCUCGGGCAUCUCGUCAAAUGCUGUCAGUGAAUGUUGCAGUGACUGUGUCUGCUAUAUCGGCACCAAUGAACACUCGCAACCAACCAGGAGGUCGUCACAUGGACCCACCUUUUACUGAUGGUUACGUUUUACAACCCGUUUAUGGAUGGGGAGGAAACAGGUCUCAGCUUUGGGACAGAGAUGAACAACACGAGGAGGCGGAGAGAAAUAUGCGUCUGAAGGAGAAGAAGAAAAAAGCUGGAAGAAGAAGGAAAAGAUCCCGCCAUGCUGGUCAUUAGAGGGGCUAAAG